Molecule: long non-coding RNA, 347 nt
Organism: Lethenteron reissneri (Far Eastern brook lamprey)
Lineage: Eukaryota; Metazoa; Chordata; Hyperoartia; Petromyzontiformes; Petromyzontidae
Source: RefSeq, a predicted model, not a curated record
GUGCAUUGUGGGUGGCGAGCGGCUGGUUUGGAUUCCCGCUCACGGCCACCGUCAGUGGCGAGCGAAAGCUUCUGAAGCGGCGGCUCGCUGGGCCUCCUCUACGUCGACUCAGCCUGAAGGCGGGUGUCUCAGAUUGCCAGCACCAUGUGAUGGGAGCUCCAGGGCAUGCUGCGUGCUCGCCAGGAGGGGCUGGGCAAGAUGGCGUAGUCGCUGGAGCAGCUGCGGGCGCGGCACCGCUGCUCUCACCCUGGCGGAGUGCAGCAACACAGUGGGGUGGCACCAGCGGGACACUCUGGACAACGCAGCCAAGGCUGAUGCCCCGCUCGCCCGACUCGUUGAGAGGCUUG